CGCUAACUGUCGCCGGAAAAUUCUUGAGAAUCGCUGGAAAGCCCGAAGCUUUUGAGCUUCGAUUCUCCUUCCUCGCUCGGAUACUGGACAAUAGGAAGGUCCGCCAUUGAAAGGCGAGUUGAACAGCACCAGUGCGCCGGCGUGAAGUCUCCGGACGCCGGAGUUAAGGUCUGGUCGCGAUCGCGGGUCGCCGGGUCGACG
Molecule: long non-coding RNA, 201 nt
Filed under: Rosa chinensis
Lineage: Eukaryota; Viridiplantae; Streptophyta; Magnoliopsida; Rosales; Rosaceae
Description: sRNA RchiOBHm_Chr5g0052671
Source: RNAcentral